GACGAACGCUGGCGGCGUGCUUAACACAUGCAAGUCGAACGGAAAGGCCCUGCUUUUGUGGGGUGCUCGAGUGGCGAACGGGUGAGUAACACGUGAGUAACCUGCCCUUGACUUUGGGAUAACUUCAGGAAACUGGGGCUAAUACCGGAUAGGAGCUCCUGCUGCAUGGUGGGGGUUGGAAAGUUUCGGCGGUUGGGGAUGGACUCGCGGCUUAUCAGCUUGUUGGUGGGGUAGUGGCUUACCAAGGCUUUGACGGGUAGCCGGCCUGAGAGGGUGACCGGCCACAUUGGGACUGAGAUACGGCCCAGACUCCUACGGGAGGCAGCAGUGGGGAAUAUUGCACAAUGGGCGGAAGCCUGAUGCAGCAACGCCGCGUGCGGGAUGACGGCCUUCGGGUUGUAAACUGCUUUCGCCUGUGACGAAGUGUGAGUGACGGUAAUGGGUAAAGAAGCACCGGCUAACUACGUG
Molecule: ribosomal RNA, 468 nt
Filed under: uncultured bacterium
Lineage: Bacteria
Description: partial 16S ribosomal RNA
Rfam family: Bacterial small subunit ribosomal RNA
Source: RNAcentral